Molecule: non-coding RNA, 98 nt
Organism: Melampsora americana
Lineage: Eukaryota; Fungi; Basidiomycota; Pucciniomycetes; Pucciniales; Melampsoraceae
Source: the annotation of a GenBank genome assembly
GCCCGGUUAGCUCAGUCGGUAGAGCAUUCGACUUUUACCAAGUUUCAUCUCCUGUGGAUGCCAUCGAAUUGUCGGGGGUUCGAGCCCCCCAUUGGGCG